This 837-nucleotide ribosomal RNA is filed under the name Haloferax volcanii. RNAcentral's name for it is "bacterial SSU rRNA". It matches the Rfam family "Archaeal small subunit ribosomal RNA", at positions 17 to 855 of the family's 1478-position model. The record is from RNAcentral. Lineage: Archaea; Methanobacteriati; Methanobacteriota; Halobacteria; Halobacteriales; Haloferacaceae.
CCGGAGGUCAUUGCUAUUGGGGUCCGAUUUAGCCAUGCUAGUUGCACGAGUUCAUACUCGUGGCGAAAAGCUCAGUAACACGUGGCCAAACUACCCUACAGAGAACGAUAACCUCGGGAAACUGAGGCUAAUAGUUCAUACGGGAGUCAUGCUGGAAUGCCGACUCCCCGAAACGCUCAGGCGCUGUAGGAUGUGGCUGCGGCCGAUUAGGUAGACGGUGGGGUAACGGCCCACCGUGCCGAUAAUCGGUACGGGUUGUGAGAGCAAGAGCCCGGAGACGGAAUCUGAGACAAGAUUCCGGGCCCUACGGGGCGCAGCAGGCGCGAAACCUUUACACUGCACGCAAGUGCGAUAAGGGGACCCCAAGUGCGAGGGCAUAUAGUCCUCGCUUUUCUCGACUGUAAGGCGGUCGAGGAAUAAGAGCUGGGCAAGACCGGUGCCAGCCGCCGCGGUAAUACCGGCAGCUCAAGUGAUGACCGAUAUUAUUGGGCCUAAAGCGUCCGUAGCCGGCCAUGAAGGUUCAUCGGGAAAUCCGCCAGCUCAACUGGCGGGCGUCCGGUGAAAACCACAUGGCUUGGGACCGGAAGGCUCGAGGGGUACGUCCGGGGUAGGAGUGAAAUCCCGUAAUCCUGGACGGACCACCGAUGGCGAAAGCACCUCGAGAAGACGGAUCCGACGGUGAGGGACGAAAGCUAGGGUCUCGAACCGGAUUAGAUACCCGGGUAGUCCUAGCUGUAAACGAUGCUCGCUAGGUGUGACACAGGCUACGAGCCUGUGUUGUGCCGUAGGGAAGCCGAGAAGCGAGCCGCCUGGGAAGUACGUCCGCAAGGAUGAAAC